CUACCAUGCAGUCGAGGGGUAGGGUUACUUCGGUAAUCUGAGACCCCNCGCACGGGUGCGUAACGCGUAUGCAAUCUACCUUUUACUAUGGNAUAGCCCAGAGAAAUUUGGAUUAAUACCAUAUAGUAUAUUUGAAUGGCAUCGUUUGAAUAUUAAAGAUUUAUCGGUAAAAGAUGAGCAUGCGUCCCAUUAGUUAGUUGGUGUGGCAACGGCAUACCAAGACGAUGAUGGGUAGGGGUCCUGAGAGGGAGAUCCCCCACACUGGUACUGAGACACGGACCAGACUCCUACGGGAGGCAGCAGUGAGGAAUAUUGGUCAAUGGAGGCAACUCUGAACCAGCCAUGCCGCGUGCAGGAUGACGGUCCUAUGGAUUGUAAACUGCUUUUGUACGGGAAGAAAACAAACUACGAGUAGUUAAUUGACGGUACCGUAAGAAUAAGGAUCGGCUAACUCCGUGCCAGCAGCCGCGGUAAUACGGAGGAUCCAAGCGUUAUCCGGAAUCAUUGGGUUUAAGGGUCCGUAGCGGCCUUAUAGUCAGUGGUGAAGUUUUUGGCUUACCAAAAAUUGCCAUUGAUACUGUAGGGCUUGAAUAUCUGUGAAGUAACUAGAAUAUGUAGUGUAGCGGUGAAAUGCUUAGAUAUUACAUGGAAUACCGAUUGCGAAGGCAGGUUACUAACAGAUGAUUGACGCUGAUGGACGAAAGCGUGGGUAGCGAACAGGAUUAGAUACCCUGGUAGUCCACGCCGUAAACGAUGGAUACUAGCUGUUUGGUUUUCGGACUGAGUGGCUAAGCGAAAGUGAUAAGUAUCCCACCUGGGGAGUACGGUCGCAAGACUGAAACUCAAAGGAAUUGACGGGGGCCCGCACAAGCGGUGGAGCAUGUGGUUUAAUUCGAUGAUACGCGAGGAACCUUACCAGGGCUUAAAUGUAGAUUGACAGAUUUGGAAACAGAUUUUUCUUCGGACANUUACAAGGUGCUGCAUGGUUGUCGUCAGCUCGUGCCGUGAGGUGUCAGGUAAGUCUAUAACGAGCGCACCCCUGUNGUNAGUUGCCACACGUAUGGUGGAACUCUACNAGAC
This 1080-nucleotide ribosomal RNA is filed under the name uncultured Myroides sp. RNAcentral describes it as "bacterial SSU rRNA". It matches the Rfam family "Bacterial small subunit ribosomal RNA", at positions 49 to 1149 of the family's 1533-position model. Lineage: Bacteria; Pseudomonadati; Bacteroidota; Flavobacteriia; Flavobacteriales; Flavobacteriaceae. The record is from RNAcentral.